RNAcentral lists this non-coding RNA (22 nucleotides) under Rattus norvegicus (Norway rat). Lineage: Eukaryota; Metazoa; Chordata; Mammalia; Rodentia; Muridae. The record is from RNAcentral.
UGCCCUUCUCUAAAAGGAAGUC